GUUCUUGUCUUGUGUGCAUGUACAGAAGGGAGGGAGGAUAAGGAGACGAGGAUUGGAUCGGUCUAGCCGGUGCGGCGGUCGCUGCCCUUGUACGACGAGGCGGUGACGGCCUGGAGAGAGAGAGAGAGAGAGGUUUAGGGAUUAGAGAUUAGGGGAGAGUCUAAACUGAACGUCCAAUCCAAGAACAACACGACACUAAGUAAACGAGGUCUAGCUUCAGCGGCCACAACCACAGGCACCACGGCGACCCACAACGUCUAGUCUCAAGUUUCCGUACCGGUACCUCGUCUAGCUCGUAUUCACGUCUAUCUUUCUACUUCUGUCACCCUCCUUCUGUUUGACGACCAAACCGAUAAACCCAUUCUUACCUCUGCACACUUCAGAACGUUACCGAACGAGACGAGAGAGAAGAAAAUUAUAGUCUUUUGGUGGAAGGAACCGACCAUACCGACGGGUAGGGGAAGAGGUAACAAGAGUGUCCACGAUCGAAAAUUAACCGACUUCCAACUUCGGGUAUGUAUCUGAUAUGACAACUGGGUAACUGAUAAUUAGAUAACACGUGCACUCUCACCACCAGUCACGCACAGAGUUUACACAGAACGAUAAGACCAACUGGGUCUCUAUAAAAACCCAACCAGAUUCAAACCACACCGUAACAACAUAUCUAAUCGUAUCAGACCAGAGGGAUGUAAAAGAAAAAGGUUUUAAACAUUAUGUGAACAUAUCGACAUGACAAACUCCAUAUACUUAUAUCUAUAUAUAAACUC
RNAcentral lists this ribosomal RNA (767 nucleotides) under Triticum aestivum (bread wheat). RNAcentral describes it as "partial small subunit ribosomal RNA". Lineage: Eukaryota; Viridiplantae; Streptophyta; Magnoliopsida; Poales; Poaceae. The record is from RNAcentral.